AGCGUACACGGUGGAUGCCCUGGCAGUCAGAGGCGAUGAAGGACGUGCUAAUCUGCGAAAAGCGCCGGCGAGGUGAUAUGAACCUUUGACCCGGCGAUGUCCGAAUGGGGAAACCCAGUGCAAUUCGUUGCACUAUCGUUAACUGAAUACAUAGGUUAACGAGGCGAACCGGGGGAACUGAAACAUCUAAGUACCCCGAGGAAAAGAAAUCAACCGAGAUUCCCCCAGUAGCGGCGAGCGAACGGGGAGCAGCCCAGAGUCUGAAUCAGCUUGUGUGUUAGUGGAAGCGUCUGGAAAGUCGCACGGUACAGGGUGACAGUCCCGUACACGAAAGCACACAGGCUGUGAACUCGAAGAGUAGGGCGGGACACGUGGUAUCCUGUCUGAAUAUGGGGGGACCAUCCUCCAAGGCUAAAUACUCCUGACUGACCGAUAGUGAACCAGUACCGUGAGGGAAAGGCGAAAAGAACCCCGGCGAGGGGAGUGAAAAAGAACCUGAAACCGUGUACGUACAAGCAGUGGGAGCACCUUCGUGGUGUGACUGCGUACCUUUUGUAUAAUGGGUCAGCGACUUAUAUUCUGUAGCAAGGUUAACCGUAUAGGGGAGCCGAAGGGAAACCGAGUCUUAACUGGGCGUUAAGUUGCAGGGUAUAGACCCGAAACCCGGUGAUCUAGCCAUGGGCAGGUUGAAGGUUGGGUAACACUAACUGGAGGACCGAACCGACUAAUGUUGAAAAAUUAGCGGAUGACUUGUGGCUGGGGGUGAAAGGCCAAUCAAACCGGGAGAUAGCUGGUUCUCCCCGAAAGCUAUUUAGGUAGCGCCUCGUGAACUCAUCUUCGGGGGUAGAGCACUGUUUCGGCUAGGGGGCCAUCCCGGCUUACCAACCCGAUGCAAACUACGAAUACCGAAGAAUGUUAUCACGGGAGACACACGGCGGGUGCUAACGUCCGUCGUGAAGAGGGAAACAACCCAGACCGCCAGCUAAGGUCCCAAAGUCAUGGUUAAGUGGGAAACGAUGUGGGAAGGCACAGACAGCCAGGAUGUUGGCUUAGAAGCAGCCAUCAUUUAAAGAAAGCGUAAUAGCUCACUGGUCGAGUCGGCCUGCGCGGAAGAUGUAACGGGGCUAAACCAUGCACCGAAGCUGCGGCAGCGACGCGUAUGCGUUGUUGGGUAGGGGAGCGUUCUGUAAGCCGUUGAAGGUGUGCUGUGAGGCAUGCUGGAGGUAUCAGAAGUGCGAAUGCUGACAUAAGUAACGAUAAAGCGGGUGAAAAGCCCGCUCGCCGGAAGACCAAGGGUUCCUGUCCAACGUUAAUCGGGGCAGGGUGAGUCGACCCCUAAGGCGAGGCCGAAAGGCGUAGUCGAUGGGAAACAGGUUAAUAUUCCUGUACUUGGUGUUACUGCGAAGGGGGGACGGAGAAGGCUAUGUUAGCCGGGCGACGGUUGUCCCGGUUUAAGCAUGUAGGCGGAGGUUCCAGGUAAAUCCGGUACCUUUUAACGCUGAGGUGUGAUGACGAGGCACUACGGUGCUGAAGUAACAAAUGCCCUGCUUCCAGGAAAAGCCUCUAAGCAUCAGGUAACAUCAAAUCGUACCCCAAACCGACACAGGUGGUCAGGUAGAGAAUACCAAGGCGCUUGAGAGAACUCGGGUGAAGGAACUAGGCAAAAUGGUGCCGUAACUUCGGGAGAAGGCACGCUGAUAUGUAGGUGAAGCCCCUGCGGGUGGAGCUGAAAUCAGUCGAAGAUACCAGCUGGCUGCAACUGUUUAUUAAAAACACAGCACUGUGCAAACACGAAAGUGGACGUAUACGGUGUGACGCCUGCCCGGUGCCGGAAGGUUAAUUGAUGGGGUUAGCGGCAACGCGAAGCUCUUGAUCGAAGCCCCGGUAAACGGCGGCCGUAACUAUAACGGUCCUAAGGUAGCGAAAUUCCUUGUCGGGUAAGUUCCGACCUGCACGAAUGGCGUAAUGAUGGCCAGGCUGUCUCCACCCGAGACUCAGUGAAAUUGAACUCGCUGUGAAGAUGCAGUGUACCCGCGGCAAGACGGAAAGACCCCGUGAACCUUUACUAUAGCUUGACACUGAACACUGGUCCUUGAUGUGUAGGAUAGGUGGGAGGCUUUGAAGCGUGGACGCCAGUCUGCGUGGAGCCGUCCUUGAAAUACCACCCUUUAAUGGCUGGUGUUCUAACGUAGACCCGUGAUCCGGGUUGCGGACAGUGUCUGGUGGGUAGUUUGACUGGGGCGGUCUCCUCCCAAAGAGUAACGGAGGAGCACGAAGGUUAGCUAAUCCUGGUCGGACAUCAGGAGGUUAGUGCAAUGGCAUAAGCUAGCUUGACUGCGAGAGUGACGGCUCGAGCAGGUGCGAAAGCAGGUCAUAGUGAUCCGGUGGUUCUGAAUGGAAGGGCCAUCGCUCAACGGAUAAAAGGUACUCCGGGGAUAACAGGCUGAUACCGCCCAAGAGUUCAUAUCGACGGCGGUGUUUGGCACCUCGAUGUCGGCUCAUCACAUCCUGGGGCUGAAGUAGGUCCCAAGGGUAUGGCUGUUCGCCAUUUAAAGUGGUACGCGAGCUGGGUUUAGAACGUCGUGAGACAGUUCGGUCCCUAUCUGCCGUGGGCGCUGGAGAAUUGAGGGGGGCUGCUCCUAGUACGAGAGGACCGGAGUGGACGCAUCACUGGUGUUCGGGUUGUCAUGCCAAUGGCACUGCCCGGUAGCUAAAUGCGGAAAAGAUAAGUGCUGAAAGCAUCUAAGCACGAAACUUGCCCCGAGAUGAGUUCU
RNAcentral lists this ribosomal RNA (2774 nucleotides) under Enterobacter cloacae. Its description in RNAcentral is "bacterial LSU rRNA". It matches the Rfam family "Bacterial large subunit ribosomal RNA". Lineage: Bacteria; Pseudomonadati; Pseudomonadota; Gammaproteobacteria; Enterobacterales; Enterobacteriaceae. The record is from RNAcentral. RNAcentral also lists the same sequence under 2 other names.